CCUACGGGAGGCUGCAGUGGGGAAUAUUGGACAAUGGGGGCAACCCUGAUCCAGCCAUGCCGCGUGUGUGAAGAAGGCCCUCGGGUUGUAAAGCACUUUCAGUGAGGAAGAACGCCUGGUGGUUAAUACCCAUCAGGAAAGACAUCACUCACAGAAGAAGCACCGGCUAACUCCGUGCCAGCAGCCGCGGUAAUACGGAGGGUGCGAGCGUUAAUCGGAAUUACUGGGCGUAAAGCGCGCGUAGGUGGCUUGAUAAGCCGGUUGUGAAAGCCCCGGGCUCAACCUGGGAACGGCAUCCGGAACUGUCAAGCUAGAGUGCAGGAGAGGAAGGUAGAAUUCCCGGUGUAGCGGUGAAAUGCGUAGAGAUCGGGAGGAAUACCAGUGGCGAAGGCUGCCUUCUGGACUGACACUGACACUGAGGUGCGAAAGCGUGGGUAGCAAACAGGAUUAGAUACCCGUGUAGUC
This 465-nucleotide ribosomal RNA is filed under the name Vreelandella stevensii. Its description in RNAcentral is "partial 16S ribosomal RNA". It matches the Rfam family "Bacterial small subunit ribosomal RNA", at positions 338 to 795 of the family's 1533-position model. The record is from RNAcentral. Lineage: Bacteria; Pseudomonadati; Pseudomonadota; Gammaproteobacteria; Oceanospirillales; Halomonadaceae.